RNAcentral lists this long non-coding RNA (4266 nucleotides) under Heterocephalus glaber (naked mole-rat). RNAcentral describes it as "lncRNA (ENSHGLG00000039457.1)". The record is from RNAcentral. Lineage: Eukaryota; Metazoa; Chordata; Mammalia; Rodentia; Bathyergidae.
CCUUCCUCCAACUGAGUUACAGGAAAGUGGCGCUCUGCCCGCUGUUUCGCGAGCUCUGGGUCGUACUCUGCCCGGAGGUUGGAAACGGGUGAAAGGAGGCGACCUGGGGCAAGGCGGGUAGGAGCAGACAUCGCGGAGGCAGGCGCGCAGUGCCUGGCACUUGGUCGGCGCGGAGGGCGUGCGGGAGCGGCGCUUUCCCGGGAGCGGCGCGCGGCCGCAGGGCCUGAUGGGUGCCUCCGUGUACGGGAGUCGGUUUGCGAGCUUUGCGGGCGGGUCCCUUCGGGUGUCAGUGGCAGGACAGGAAGUCCCCUGGUCCUUAUCUCUGACAUUCAGCGUCCCACAGCGUGAGCGGCACUCCUGACUCCUGAAGAAAUAACGUGUGUGCACACCCAGUCUUCCUGUGUGGCAGUUGUACUGACUGGAUUUCUGGGCGUCACUUCCGCACGUAGGGCUUCUCUGCCUCCUUUGCAUAGUCCGCCUGCCAACGCCAUUUGAGUUUAUUGGGGUUUUUACGAGAAAUGGUCCCAGAGAAAGUGAGUUCUGAAAGGGGCUCGGUGCACUAGAAGGUGGCCCCUUUGUCUUUCCAGUAAAGUAGUUGCAGCGUUUGAGGGGAAGCUCCCUGCGAAUAGAAAUCCGACCUGAAGGAACUCCCGUCUGGCCGGAAUUCUGUCACUAGUCCUUGGGAACAGAGGCAUCAGCAUUCUUGGAAGGGAAGGUCCCAGCUCUGCAUGGCCCUAGGAUGAUUGCGCGGGAUGUGCUCGGUAACCCUUGACUCAGUAGCCAUCACGCACUGGGUGGUGCUGGGAGGUGUGCACCAGUUUUGAGAAAAGCGAGGGGAGGUGGGCCGAGAGGGGGAGGCAGUGUCCCUUAAUGGACAGGGCUUGAAAGUUGGCCCCGGGUGGAGAAGAAACCUGUCUUCCUGGAGAGAUCUUCAAUCCAGUGUCUUAGCUGCCUCAGCUGUCACCAGAUUUGUCAUCUACAGUCUACACUCGUGCUAUGCUCCCUCUGCCCUGAUAGUUCUUCCCGGCUCUUGGGGGAAGGAUUUGCCAGAAAAAAAAUUAAAAAUCGGAUCCAAGGAGCCAUGACUUGCCCAGGCUCACAAGAUUUGUAGACGCUGAUCAUCCUGACUUUGUGGUUAAUAGUAUUCAUUUUGCCACUUAAGUCAAAAUAAAUGUUUAUUUUUGAAGUUAUUGUUGUAACACAGAAGUCCACUUAGAACAGACAUUGCUUUAAAAUACGUAGCCUUCAAUAGCCCUGUCAUUUUUUUAAUCCCCCAAACUACCUGUGGUUUAUGGGACUUCACAAGGUAAAUGAUGCGUGUUUCCUACCUAAUGUCAGUGAUCCAUUUAGUUUGUUUGUUUUUGAGACAGGGUCUUUCUGUGCAGUUCAGGCUGCCCUUGAACUGUGUAACCUUGGCUCACCUUGAACUGGAGGCGAUCUGCCUGCCCCAGCCUCCUGAGAGCUGGGAUUACAGGUAUCAUGCACCACGUGCAGCAGUAAUUUGUUGUUGGUAAUGAUAAAUUUUGCAGGAAAGUUAUAAGGAACUAUUCUGCAUUACUCUAAAUGGGAAAAUUAGAAUGCAUCACACUUCUCCAAACCAGUUUUUAAAAAUGUAAAUAAAAUACAGUACAGUGCCCACUUACAAAUAACAGACCCUUUAUGACUUAUACUUAAAAAGAUUUUGUAUCAUGUUAAAAACCCUUAAAACAUUGUUUACUAAUGUGCAGACAAUUGCCUUGGGGGUUUACAUGGCCUCAAUUAGUGCCAGAAACCUCACUGAAACUAUUCAGUUGCCAUUCAUUGUGAUUUUCCAAAUCCACGUGUUUGUGAAGUUCUGUUGAUUGUAUUUGACAUGACAUUGAACACUUUCUCCCCCACAUGAUUUUGUUAAAAACAUUGAGUUUUAGAGGCUUAGAUGUAUCAGCAUUUGCUAUAUAAGGAGCCAAUAAAAACUUAAUAGCUCCACAAAAUCAACUUCUUAAUUUUUUUCUUGACAUUCUGUGGAUGUGCAUUUGGGUUGGGCUCUGCUGGGAAGUUCUUAUGCUGGGGUUGCUUGGAUCACAGAUAAGGCUCUAUUCAUCUACUGAGGCUGGUGGUACAGAGUCUGGCAAUUCAUGCUGACUCUUGUCCUCGUCAGAUUAGCCCCAGGCCUCUUCACAAUGUGCCUGUGUGUCCAAGUGCGCAAGCAACAGCUGGGAAGGACUUUCUGAACCUACCUAUGCAUUGUACUUACUGAUGUCCCGAUGGCCAGAGAAUUCAGAGAAAAAGCCCAGAUCAUCAUUGGAACAUGGUAUACAUGGGCUUAGAUGCAAGGAGACUUGCCUGAGGGUAUCAUUCCUGAAAGAGUAUGCCACAAGACAUUGUGUGUGUGUGUGUGUGUGUGUGUAUAUAUAUAUAUAUAUAUAUAUAUUUUCCCCUCCUAUAUAAUUGUGAGCAAAAACUGUUGGGUUGCAAGAGGUAUACUGUCUGCAACGUUCAGGUAAUAUAAAAUCAUGGAGUGUUGGAUGGAAACACUUACCUGGAGUCCUUUGUGGAACCCUCAUAGUAAUAGGGAAGUAGUUAAUUAGGCCCAAGUAUAUUUCUAUAUAGUAAUUUUACUGACAACAUGUUUCCUUCUUUGGGUUUUAUACUUUCAGGUAAUAUAAUUUUGGGAAGUCAGUGGCUAGUGUGUGGUUUUAUUAACCCAAAAACAUUGUAUGUUUAAUCAUUGCAAAGUACUGUGCUUGCGGAUGUGUUUUGGGUAUUAUCUUUGCCGCCUCUUGUUGAGCUGUAAACUGCUGUUGUCCUGUAGUGCGGCCGUUUCCAGCUGAUGCUUGGUGAGCUUACAGAGGGAGCCAGGACCGAGCCCCACGCAGUUGUGACUGCUGCACUCGCCUUUCCCCUCUGUGUUCCCACAAGCACAAAACACGGACCAAACGUGGAACAUCCUGCAGAUGCCUGAGAUGGAGUGACCCUCUCUGUUGUCCAUGGUGCAGCAGGCAGCAGGUGCAGAUGACCCUGUGGGUGCAGAUGACCCUGUGGUCCAUAACCCUCAGGCCACUCUCCAGUUGCCACCAACAUUUAGCUCACUGUCCUUGAGGUCCUCAGCAGCCUUGAUGCUCCUCCAGCCAUGUGAGUGAUCUCCCGAGGCCUGGCCUCUGUGUUCUAGCGCUUUGUGACCACAACACCCCAUUUCCGGGCAUGAGUUCUCUUCUGGUUAUGUUCUACUUAAAAAGCCACCUGAAGAACUUGGCAGCUAAAGCAGUUUAUGAUCCCGUGAUGCUGUAGGUUGGGGGCUCUGCCUGGUGGCUGGCUAAUUUCACACAGUUGCAGCAGGCAGCAGCUGAAACGGCCUCUGAGAGCACAGCUGGGUGACGCACAGCUGCCCCCUGCUGGCUGGCUGCAGUACUGCUGAGCCCAAGGAGCAGGGCUGUCCUUGCAUGGGAUGGUUCCUGUGGGUGUCUCCCUGGUGGCCUUGGCUCUGUGGUUUUCUACAUGGCAGCACCCCCCUUCCACGCCACAUUAACAUUCCAGAGCCACUGGUGAAGCGGCAUCACUUCCCACAGCCUUCAGAGGUCACCUUGUGUCACUUUUCUGCGCCAGGUCUAGGCACUGCUCAAGGCCCCCACAGAAGGCAGGGUGGUGACCAAGCUGUGCCCCUAAGACCUGUCAGAAGUGCUGCUGUCACGAUUGUCCUAAACACAUGCAGCUGCCCUUGUGCACACCUCUUUGUCACAGGCUAUUUUGAAGUCUGUAAUGAAUAUCUCAGGUGCUGGCUAUGAAUUGGGUUGAACUGAGGUAUGCAGCCUUCCUAGUGUCCAUCUGGUGGCUCACUGGUUCCUGAGCGGGUGGGGGAGGAUCCUGCAGGUGUCACCGAGUGGUUGUCAGCUGCCCACUUUCCGCUGCUGUUUCAGAUACUUUGAGGCUCUCUGUUUAGGCACAGACACAUUUGUAAUUGUUAGAUCAUCCUCACAUAGAUUCCUUAUAUUAUUGUGAAAGUCCCCUCAUUUCUGGUAACGUGUGUCUCUUGUCUAGUUUUAAUGUCUCCUUUUGAGCUCCUUGUGGUUAGCAGUAUAUCUUUUCCAUCUGUUUACUUCAAGUCUGUUACUUUGUACUAUAUUUAAAGUAUGCUUGUGUAGACAGCAUAAUGCAGACUCCUGCUUUACUAUUAAAUCUGACAGGGUCUAUCUUUUUUUUUUUUUUUUUUGGUACCGGGGAUCGAACUCGGGUCCUUGGCACUUGCACAGCAGGCAGCAAAACCACUGAGCUAAAUCCCUUGCCCCUGAC